UCGGGAAUUUUGCGCAAUGGGCUAACGCCUGACGCAGCAACGCCGCGUGGAGGAUGAAGGUCUUUGGAUUGUAAACUCCUGUCAGCGGGGAAAAAGCAACCCGACCUCAUACGUCGGGAAGUUGAUUGUACCCGCAGAGGAAGCCCCGGCUAACUCUGUGCCAGCAGCCGCGGUAAUACAGAGGGGGCAAGCGUUAUUCGGAAUUAUUGGGCGUAAAGGGCGCGUAGGCGGCUUGGCAAGUGGAAGGUGAAAUCCCUCGGCUUAACCGAGGAACUGCCCUCCAAACUGCUUUGCUUGAGGCCGGGAGAGGCGAGUGGAAUUCCCAGUGUAGCGGUGAAAUGCGUAGAUAUUGGGAGGAACACCAGUGGCGAAGGCGGCUCGCUGGACCGGUUCUGACGCUGAGGCGCGAAAGCGUGGGGAGCAAAC
This 426-nucleotide ribosomal RNA is filed under the name uncultured bacterium. RNAcentral describes it as "bacterial SSU rRNA". It matches the Rfam family "Bacterial small subunit ribosomal RNA", at positions 355 to 773 of the family's 1533-position model. The record is from RNAcentral.